RNAcentral lists this ribosomal RNA (525 nucleotides) under uncultured bacterium. RNAcentral describes it as "bacterial SSU rRNA". It matches the Rfam family "Bacterial small subunit ribosomal RNA", at positions 8 to 526 of the family's 1533-position model. The record is from RNAcentral.
AGGGUUCGAUCCUGGCUCAGGAUGAACGCUAGCGGCAGGCUUAACACAUGCAAGUCGAGGGGUAACAGGGAUUGCUUGCAAUCCGCUGACGACCGGCGCACGGGUGCGUAACGCGUAUGCAACCUACCUUCUACAGGGGGAUAGCCCAGAGAAAUUUGGAAUAAUACCCCAUACGGUCAUCAAUUGGCAUCAAUAGAUGAAGAAAACUCCGGUGGUAGAAGAUGGGCAUGCGUCCUAUUAGUUAGUUGGUAAGGUAACGGCUUACCAAGACAUCGAUAGGUAGGGGUCCUGAGAGGGAGAUCCCCCACACUGGUACUGAGACACGGACCAGACUCCUACGGGAGGCAGCAGUGAGGAAUAUUGGACAAUGGAGGCAACUCUGAUCCAGCCAUGCCGCGUGCAGGAAGACGGCCCUAUGGGUUGUAAACUGCUUUUAUACAGGAAGAAUUGUACCUACGUGUAGGUAUUUGACGGUACUGUACGAAUAAGGAUCGGCUAACUCCGUGCCAGCCGCCGCGGUAAUAC